AUGGACACCCCCAUCUCUAUUUUGGGCAACCCUACCCCCUCCUCCUCAUUUUUCGCGCCUCCACCUGCCUUCAACCGCCGCCAGCAUCGUUUUCAGCAUCGGCAAGCCAUGUGCUGCCACUUGGCGAGUCGCCAUGGGCCAGCCGCCGCCUGCGCAACCGCUUCCCUCCAUUCAUGUGCCUCCACGUGUACCCGCCACCUCACCCGCGCCCCUGCUCAGCUCCCGCUUCCACCGCGGCCCGCGGAGCCCGCGCGAGGCCCGCCCGGGCCCGGAACCGCGCCACCGCCCGCACCUGAAGCCUCCCGCUCGAUCCCGAUUUGGAUCAGGGAUUCCGUCGCCCGCAGCUCCCCUCGCACCUCGCCGACCCCGCCACCGCAGACCUCGUCGCCGUCGAGCUCCGGCGGAGGACCUCCCAGGCCGGACACUACCGGCCUGCUCCUCCUUCCCUGCCUGUCUCCUUCUCCUCUUUCCUCUCUCAUCUCACUCUGCCGCCAUGAACAGGGACCCCCAUGGCCGCCGAGAUCGAGCACCACGUCGACCCUGCCGUCAAGCCGUCGGACCUCAUUCACCUCAUGCGCGUCGCCGGCCUCCAUCCCCGCCGGACCCCGCAGUCCCGGAUCUCCCCCGCUUCCCCUUCUUCCGUUGCCGCAAGUCCAGCGCGGCCAUGUCCCGUUCCUGUUCGAGCCAAGGAGGACGAACGCCAACGCCCGCUCUGAUCAAACGUUGACCGUGCCUAGUCACGUGCCCUUCUUCCUCGCGGGCCACAAGCCACGGCCGGCCCAACUUCCCUCCAAGGCCCAGCGCCUGCACCAGCUGGGCUUGGCCCAUCGUGAGAUGUCCCCAGUCGUGCGCCCAGUGCACUGUGCAGCCCAGUCUGCCUCAGUUUUGGCCCGUGCACGUUAUUUUCCCUUGCUGUGA
RNAcentral lists this ribosomal RNA (918 nucleotides) under Triticum aestivum (bread wheat). RNAcentral describes it as "partial small subunit ribosomal RNA". Lineage: Eukaryota; Viridiplantae; Streptophyta; Magnoliopsida; Poales; Poaceae. The record is from RNAcentral.